RNAcentral lists this ribosomal RNA (253 nucleotides) under uncultured bacterium. Its description in RNAcentral is "partial 16S ribosomal RNA". It matches the Rfam family "Bacterial small subunit ribosomal RNA", at positions 524 to 776 of the family's 1533-position model. The record is from RNAcentral.
UACAGAGGUCUCAAGCGUUGUUCGGAUUCAUUGGGCGUAAAGGGUGCGUAGGCGGCGCGGUAAGUCGGGUGUGAAAUCUCGGAGCUUAACUCCGAAACUGCAUUCGAUACUGCCGUGCUUGAGGACUGGAGAGGAGACUGGAAUUUACGGUGUAGCGGUGAAAUGCGUAGAUAUCAGGAGGAACACCUGUGGCGAAAGCGGCUCACUGGACCAUAACUGACGCUGAUGCACGAAAGCUAGGGGAGCAAACAGG